RNAcentral lists this ribosomal RNA (1527 nucleotides) under Triticum aestivum (bread wheat). RNAcentral's name for it is "partial small subunit ribosomal RNA". Lineage: Eukaryota; Viridiplantae; Streptophyta; Magnoliopsida; Poales; Poaceae. The record is from RNAcentral.
AUGCAAAUAAUGGAGGUCGUCUACCUCGUCUUAGCUCUCUUGUCAUUGUGCAUUGUUCUUCUCUCCAGGCGCUUCCGCAGGCGCUCCACAGCGAACGAGCCUCCCGGGCCGUGGCAGCUGCCGGUGAUCGGCAGCCUGCACCACCUCGCCGGUCAGCUCCCCCACCACGCCAUGCGUGACCUAGCGCAGCGCCACGGGCCGGUGAUGCUCCUCCGGCUCGGGGACGUGCCGACGCUGGUGGUGUCGUCCCCAGAGGGUGCCCUUGAGGUCAUGAAGACACACGACCUGGCGUUCGCGACGCGGCCCCUGCGUGCCACAGCAAGCGUGCUCACCAACGGCGGCCGGGACAUCGUUUUCGCGCCGUACGGCGACUACUGGCGCCAGCUUCGGAAGAUAGCCGUCAUGGAGCUCCUAUCGGCACGGCGUGUCCUGUCCUUCCGCGCCAUCCGCGAAGAGGAGGUCGCCGUCAUGCUCCGAGACGUCGCCGAGGCGGCGGCGGCCACGCGACCCGUGGAGAUGCGCCCUCUCCUCUCGGCCCUCGUCUCUGACAUAACGGUCCGCGCCGUCAUGGGUGACCGCCGGUUCAAGGAGCGCGCCGUGUUCCUCAGCACACUCGACCGCUCCAUGAAGCUCGUAGCGGGCUUCAACCCACCGGACCUGUGGCCGUCAUCCCGGCUUGCUAGCUGGCUCAGCGGGGCCGUGCGCCGCGCCAAGGAGUGCCACGACACCGGGCAUUACAUCCUCGACACCAUCAUCCGGGAGCGACUCGAGAGGCGGAGGAUGGAAGGUGCCGGAAACCAAGACCAGAAGGACGAGCACUUGCUCGACGUGCUGCUAAGCAUGCAGGAGGAGGGCAGACUCGACAUGGACGCCGUCAAAUACGUCAUCUUUGACCUGCUUAGUGGCGGCAGCGAGACAGCUACACUAGAGUGGACGAUCGCUGAGCUGAUAAGGAACCCAAAGGUGAUGCAGAAGGUGACAGCCGAGGUUCGGCAAGCCUUCGAAGCUCGUGGCAGUGUAGCAGAGGACACCCUCGGUGAGCUCCCGUACAUGCAUCUGGUCAUCAGGGAGGCGUUCAGGCUCCACAUGCCCACGCCGUUACUCCUCCCGCGGGAGUGCCGUGAGCCAUGCCAGAUUCUUGGGUACGACGUGCCCCGGGGCACGCAGGUGCUAAUCAAUGUUUGGGCGAUGGGCCGCGAUGAGCGAUACUGGCCCGGCGCGCCUAGCGAGUUCCGGCCGGAGCGGUUUGAGGGCGAGGCGGCCACCGUGGACUUUAGGGGAACCAACUUCUCCUUCCUGCCGUUCGGUUCUGGCAGGAGAACUUGCCCCGGGAUGGCGUUCGGCCUCGCCAACAUCGAGCUCGCUCUCGCAAGCCUGCUGUUCCACUUUGAUUGGGAGGGUCCACCACGGGAGGAGUUGGACAUGGAGGAAGCGUUUGGCAUCACGGCACGGCGGAAGGCCGACCUCCUUCUUCGCCCUGUCCUCCGAGUCCCCCUUCGUGGAGUGGACAGUGGAGAUGUCCGUUAG